CCCUGUCUACUAUCCAGC
Molecule: small nuclear RNA, 18 nt
Filed under: Arabidopsis thaliana (thale cress)
Lineage: Eukaryota; Viridiplantae; Streptophyta; Magnoliopsida; Brassicales; Brassicaceae
Description: snRNA_10460
Source: RNAcentral